RNAcentral lists this transfer RNA (87 nucleotides) under bacterium. RNAcentral's name for it is "tRNA-Leu". It matches the Rfam family "tRNA". Rfam says of the family: Transfer RNA (tRNA) molecules are approximately 80 nucleotides in length. Their secondary structure includes four short double-helical elements and three loops (D, anti-codon, and T loops). The record is from RNAcentral. RNAcentral also lists the same sequence under 3 other names.
GCCCGGGUGGUGAAAUUGGUAGACACGCAAGACUUAAAAUCUUGUCGCUUUCGAGCGGUGCCGGUUCGACCCCGGCCCCGGGCACCA